Molecule: ribosomal RNA, 439 nt
Filed under: uncultured bacterium
Lineage: Bacteria
Description: partial 16S ribosomal RNA
Rfam family: Bacterial small subunit ribosomal RNA
Source: RNAcentral
CUACGGGAGGCUCCAGUGGGGAAUCUUGCACAAUGGAGGAAACUCUGAUGCAGCGAUGCCGCGUGAGUGAAGAAGGCCCUUGGGUUGUAAAGCUCUUUCGUCGGGGAAGAAAAUGACUGUACCCGAAUAAGAAGGUCCGGCUAACUUCGGGCCAGCAGCCGCGGUAAUACGAAGGGACCUAGCGUAGUUCGGAAUUACUGGGCUUAAAGAGUUCGUAGGUGGUUGAAAAAGUUAGUGGUGAAAUCCCAGAGCUUAACUCUGGAACUGCCAUUAAAACUUUUCAGCUAGAGUAUGAUAGAGGAAAGCAGAAUUUCUAGUGUAGCGGUGAAAUUCGUAGAUAUUAGAAAGAAUACCAAUUGCGAAGGCAGCUUUCUGGAUCAUUACUGACACUGAGGAACGAAAGCAUGGGUAGCGAAGAGGAUUAGAUACCCUGGUAGUC